GUGACUUGCUUUUGGAGGGCUUCAACAACUACACCUUCCUCUCCAAUGGCUUUGUGCCCAUCCCAGCAGCGCAGGAUGAUGAGAUGUUCCAGGAAACCGUGGAGGCCAUGGCGAUCAUGGGUUUCAGCGAGGAGGAGCAGCUAUCCAUAUUGAAGGUGGUAUCAUCGGUCCUGCAGCUUGGAAAUAUCGUCUUCAAGAAGGAAAGAAACACAGACCAGGCGUCCAUGCCAGAUAACACAGCUGCUCAGAAAGUUUGCCACCUCAUGGGAAUUAAUGUGACAGAUUUCACCAGAUCCAUCCUCACUCCUCGUAUCAAGGUUGGGCGAGAUGUGGUACAGAAAGCUCAGACAAAAGAACAGGCUGACUUUGCUGUAGAGGCUUUGGCCAAGGCAACAUAUGAGCGCCUUUUCCGCUGGAUACUCACCCGCGUGAACAAAGCCCUGGACAAGACCCAUCGGCAAGGGGCUUCCUUCCUGGGGAUCCUGGAUAUAGCUGGAUUUGAGAUCUUUGAGGUGAACUCCUUCGAGCAGCUGUGCAUCAACUACACCAACGAGAAGCUGCAGCAGCUCUUCAACCACACCAUGUUCAUCCUGGAGCAGGAGGAGUACCAGCGCGAGGGCAUCGAGUGGAACUUCAUCGACUUUGGGCUGGACCUACAGCCCUGCAUCGAGCUCAUCGAGCGACCGAACAACCCUCCAGGUGUGCUGGCCCUGCUGGACGAGGAAUGCUGGUUCCCCAAAGCCACGGACAAGUCUUUCGUGGAGAAGCUGUGCACGGAGCAGGGCAGCCACCCCAAGUUCCAGAAGCCCAAGCAGCUCAAGGACAAGACUGAGUUCUCCAUCAUCCAUUAUGCCGGGAAGGUGGACUACAAUGCAAGUGCCUGGCUGACCAAGAAUAUGGACCCGCUGAAUGACAACGUGACUUCCCUGCUCAAUGCCUCCUCCGACAAGUUUGUGGCCGACCUGUGGAAGGACGUGGACCGCAUCGUGGGCCUGGACCAGAUGGCCAAGAUGACGGAGAGCUCGCUGCCCAGCGCCUCCAAGACCAAGAAGGGCAUGUUCCGCACAGUGGGGCAGCUGUACAAGGAGCAGCUGGGCAAGCUGAUGACCACGCUGCGCAACACCACGCCCAACUUCGUGCGCUGCAUCAUCCCCAACCACGAGAAGAGGGUGAGGCCCGCCGCCCAGACCCUGGGGCUCCCAGAAGCCAGGGCUGUCCCAAGCAGUCACAGCAUCCCCCGGGCGCCCUCUGCCCCCACCUACCCUGAGGACUCCAUUUGCCAUGUGGGGAAGGCUAUCUGAAUCUCAGACCCAUUCCCCAUCCCUGGAGGAAAAGGAGGAAGGGAGGAUGCAUCCAGAGACUUUUCAGCCGUGGAGUUGCUGUGCAGGUCAUCCAGCCACUCAUUCAUUCAUUAUCCCAGGAAGUAUUCACUGGGCUCCGCCCUGUCCUGGGUGCUGGGGAGCAGUGUUAGAAAAAUUGUAGCCCUUUCCUGUGGGUUUCUCAUAAUCUGGUGCAGGCAUCUUCAGCUUGGGGUGAUUGUGUCCUCUAUAUGGACAUGCUACAGACAUUUUUGGUUGUCACAACCAGGGAGGGGGCUGUUAGUCAGCAUCUAGUGGGUAGGGGCCAGGGAUGCCCUAAGCAUUGUACAAUGCACAGGAUGGUCCCUCAACCCCCAGCACAGAAUCCCUACAAGAUGCCAGUAGUGCUGAGGUUAUGGGAGACAUGGGGAGAGGUAAACAUACAGCUGAUGAUGGUGAUGGAAUGUGGUCAGUUAGGAGAACACCAAAGAGCCAGGGCUCCUCCCACAGCCUUAGGACUCAGAGAAAGCUUCUGGUGAACUUGAACGUUAAGAAUGUCUGGCCAUCAACUUGGUGACGUGGAAGGCAGGGUGGCGCCUAGGAUAAGCAGGGGGCCUAGGAUAAGCAGAGGGCCCAGGAUAAGCAAGAGUGUGGAGGUGAGAAGUGAAGGAACUAGGUAAGAAAAUGCUAGAUAGUGUCAGGCGUGUGGCUCACGCCUGUAAUCCCAGCUUCUCAGGAGGCUGAGAAACAAAAAUCUGUUGAACCCGGAGGCGGAGGUUGCAGUGAGCUGAGAUUGCACCACAGCAUUCCAGCCUGGGCAGCAGAGCGAGACUCCAUCCU
RNAcentral lists this small RNA (2138 nucleotides) under Pan troglodytes (chimpanzee). Its description in RNAcentral is "retained intron". The record is from RNAcentral. Lineage: Eukaryota; Metazoa; Chordata; Mammalia; Primates; Hominidae.